GGCCACCUUUAGCAUGGCCACUUUCUAGGCCACGUGCCAUCUCUCAAACUCUUUCCCUUUGAUUUCAAAAUAAUAAUUUCCAACCCCGUUUUGAAAUGAUUUUCCAACUUUUGGUUUUUAAAAUGUUUUCAAGUCAUCAAAUUUUCCAUCCUUAGGGUUUUUAGAUACCAACAUCUCAUUUUUAAUAAAAUUUGGUCGCCUUUUUC
RNAcentral lists this long non-coding RNA (206 nucleotides) under Vitis vinifera (wine grape). Its description in RNAcentral is "long non-coding RNA (VVIN_LNC005034)". The record is from RNAcentral. Lineage: Eukaryota; Viridiplantae; Streptophyta; Magnoliopsida; Vitales; Vitaceae.